GCGGACGGGUGAGUAACGCGUGGGUAACCUGCCCUGUACAGGGGGAUAACAGUUGGAAACGGCUGCUAAAACCGCAUAACAUGGAGAUACCGCAUGAUAUUUCCAUCAAAUAUUUAUAGGUACAGGAUGGGCCCGCGUCUGAUUAGCCAGUUGGCAGGGUAAUGGCCUACCAAAGCGACGAUCAGUAGCCGGCUUGAGAGAGUGACCGGCCACAUUGGGACUGAGACACGGCCCAAACUCCUACGGGAGGCAGCAGUGGGGGAUAUUGCACAAUGGGGGAAACCCUGAUGCAGCGACGCCGCGUGAGUGAAGAAGUAUUUCGGUAUGUAAAGCUCUAUCGGCAGGGAAGAAAAAAAUGACAGUACCUGACUAAGAAGCCCCGGCUAACUACGUGCCAGCAGCCGCGGUAAUACGUAGGGGGCAAGCGUUAUCCGGAUUUACUGGGUGUAAAGGGAGCGUAGGCGGCCAUGCAAGUCAGAAGUGAAAACCCGGGGCUCAACCCUGGGAGUGCUUUUGAAACUGUGCGGCUAGAGUGUCGGAGGGGUAAGUGGAAUUCCUAGUGUAGCGGUGAAAUGCGUAGAUAUUAGGAGGAACACCAGUGGCGAGGGCGGCUUACUGGACGAUGACUGACGCUGA
This 636-nucleotide ribosomal RNA is filed under the name uncultured bacterium. Its description in RNAcentral is "bacterial SSU rRNA". It matches the Rfam family "Bacterial small subunit ribosomal RNA", at positions 98 to 749 of the family's 1533-position model. The record is from RNAcentral.